This 305-nucleotide ribosomal RNA is filed under the name uncultured bacterium. RNAcentral describes it as "bacterial SSU rRNA". It matches the Rfam family "Bacterial small subunit ribosomal RNA", at positions 334 to 656 of the family's 1533-position model. The record is from RNAcentral.
UGAUCCUACGGGGCGCAGCAGUAGGGAAUAUUGCUCAAUGGGGGAAACCCUGAAGCAGCAACGCCGCGUGGAGGAUGAAGGUUUUCGGAUUGUAAACUCCUUUUGUUAGAGAAGAUAAUGACGGUAUCUAACGAAUAAGCACCGGCUAACUACGUGCCAGCAGCCGCGGUAAUACGUAGGGAGCAAGCGUUAUCCGGAAUUAUUGGGUGUAAAGGGUGCGUAGACGGGACAGCAAGUUAGUUGUGAAAGCCCUCGGCUUAACUGAGGAACUGCAACUAAAACUAUUGUUCUUGAGUGCAGGAGAG